This 253-nucleotide ribosomal RNA is filed under the name uncultured bacterium. RNAcentral's name for it is "partial 16S ribosomal RNA". It matches the Rfam family "Bacterial small subunit ribosomal RNA", at positions 524 to 776 of the family's 1533-position model. The record is from RNAcentral.
UACAGAGGGUGCAAGCGUUGUCCGGAUUUAUUGGGCGUAAAGAGCUCGUAGGCGGCCUGUCGCGUCGACCGUGAAAACCCGCAGCUCAACUGCGGGCUUGCGGUCGAUACGGGCAGGCUGGAGUUCGGUAGGGGAGACUGGAAUUCCUGGUGUAGCGGUGAAAUGCGCAGAUAUCAGGAGGAACACCGAUGGCGAAGGCAGGUCUCUGGGCCGCAACUGACGCUGAGGAGCGAAAGCAUGGGGAGCGAACAGG